AUCUUUCUCUGCAGAAGGGUCAAGGCUUGGUCCAGGUUGUUGUUCCUCACUUUCACUCGGAUGCCACGCCACUGCUGCAGCUCCCAAUUUACCGAGCCUAGAGCCGCACUUGGACGGGUAAAAAGGAUCCCUGCUCGCUUCGCUAACGAAUUCAUUGUUCAGUGGGUUUGUUAUUCCUAUUCAAAUUGUGUCCAAGGGUUUAUGUUUGAAAUGGAAACUUCUUUAGGAAAUUGAUUUUAUCCAAAAUAAGUUUCUGCUAAUUCAAAUUAUGAAAAUGAGAUAUAUUUUAUAAAUCGGUAUGAAUAAGAAAAAUCUAUUUUAAGUAAUGACUACGACCAACACCACUUAUCUCUAAUACAAAUAAGAAGGAAAACUGAGAAGCACAUAAUACAAGUCUUCAAUUCUUCUCUGCAUAGAAAGGGUUUGUCGAAUCAAAAUUCAGAGGGAAAAAAAAAGUUCUGUAGAUUAUUCAUCACAUUGUUCUACUACUGUUAAAAAAUUCAGGUAACUUUUUUACGCAAUUAGAAGUAUAACUUCAGUGAGUAUCCACUUCUCUAUGGAAAAUCUUCAAACUACCCUGUGCAAAACUGGAUAUUUUCUACAUUAAAGAGAAAUCGGGUGAAACAGAUACGUUAUAUAUAAAAAUCUCGAAAGAAUACCAGGUGCUGAUUUGUAGAUGAAAAUAGCGAUCUCAC
RNAcentral lists this long non-coding RNA (695 nucleotides) under Olea europaea (common olive). RNAcentral's name for it is "long non-coding RNA (OEUR_LNC007535)". Lineage: Eukaryota; Viridiplantae; Streptophyta; Magnoliopsida; Lamiales; Oleaceae. The record is from RNAcentral.